RNAcentral lists this ribosomal RNA (847 nucleotides) under uncultured bacterium. RNAcentral's name for it is "bacterial SSU rRNA". It matches the Rfam family "Bacterial small subunit ribosomal RNA", at positions 21 to 901 of the family's 1533-position model. The record is from RNAcentral.
GGCUCAGAAUCAACGCUGUCGGCGCGCCUAACACAUGCAAGUCGAGCGAGAAAGGGGAGCAAUCCCUGAGUAAAGCGGCGUACGGGUGAGUAACACGUGGAUGAUCUACCUUCUAGUGGGGAAUAACCCUGGGAAACCGGGGCUAAUACCGCAUAAGCACGAGAGUGGAAAGCAGCAAUGCGCUGGAAGAGGAGUCCGCGGCCGAUUAGCUAGUUGGCAGGGUAAAAGCCUACCAAGGCAAAGAUCGGUAGCCGGCCUGAGAGGGCACACGGCCACACUGGCACUGAAACACGGGCCAGACUCCUACGGGAGGCAGCAGUGGGGAAUCUUGCACAAUGGGGGAAACCCUGAUGCAGCGACGCCGCGUGAGCGAUGAAGCCCUUCGGGGUGUAAAGCUCUUUCGGCAGGGAAGAUUAUGACGGUACCUGCAGAAGCAGCUGCGGCUAACUACGUGCCAGCAGCCGCGGUAAUACGUAGGCAGCGAGCGUUGUUCGGAGUUACUGGGCGUAAAGGGUGCGUAGGCGGUUGUUUAAGUUUGGUGUGAAAUCUCCCGGCUCAACCGGGAGGGUGCGCCGAAUACUGAAUGACUAGAGUGCGGGAGAGGAGAGUGGAAUUCCUGGUGUAGCGGUGAAAUGCGUAGAUAUCAGGAGGAACACCGGUGGUGUAGACGGCUCUCUGGACCGUAACUGACGCUGAGGCACGAAAGCGUGGGUAGCAAACAGGAUUAGAUACCCUGGUAGUCCACGCCCUAAACGAUGCAUAUUUGGUGUGGGCAGUUCAGUCUGUCCGUGCCGGAGCUAACGCGUUAAAUAUGCCGCCUGGGGAGUACAGUCGCAAGGCUGAAACU